This 426-nucleotide ribosomal RNA is filed under the name uncultured bacterium. RNAcentral describes it as "partial 16S ribosomal RNA". It matches the Rfam family "Bacterial small subunit ribosomal RNA", at positions 354 to 796 of the family's 1533-position model. The record is from RNAcentral.
GUGAGGAAUUUUCCGCAAUGGGCGAAAGCCUGACGGAGCAAUGCCGCGUGAAGGAUGAAGGCCUAUGGGUUGUAAACUUCUUUUCUCAGAAAAGAAUUAUGACGGUAUCUGAGGAAUAAGCAUCGGCUAACUCUGUGCCAGCAGCCGCGGUAAGACAGAGGAUGCAAGCGUUAUCCGGAAUGAUUGGGCGUAAAGCGUCUGUAGGUUGUUUAAAAAGUAUUCUGUCAAAGAUUAGGGCUUAACCCUAGAUAGGAAGAAUAAACUUUUAAGCUAGAGUGUGGUAGAGGCAGAGGGAAUUCCCGGUGGAGCGGUGAAAUGCGUAGAUAUCGGGAGGAACACCAAAGGCGAAGGCACUCUGCUGGGCCAAUACUAACACUGAGAGACGAAAGCGAGGGGAGCAAAUGGGAUUAGAUACCCGUGUAGUCC